This 449-nucleotide non-coding RNA is filed under the name Cucumis melo (muskmelon). RNAcentral describes it as "Bacterial small subunit ribosomal RNA". It matches the Rfam family "Bacterial small subunit ribosomal RNA", at positions 912 to 1386 of the family's 1533-position model. RNAcentral also lists the same sequence under 1 other name. The record is from Rfam by way of RNAcentral. Lineage: Eukaryota; Viridiplantae; Streptophyta; Magnoliopsida; Cucurbitales; Cucurbitaceae.
GUCAGGGAUGCAUAUAACCGCUGGACAAAGGUCAAUGACAAGGUCCAAAUCUAUAUCUUUGAGAGUGUAGGUUUUAGUUUGAUUGCUGCUAACGCACUUUACUAAAUCGGCAUUUAGGCGAGCCACCCAGUGGUGUGGUAUGAAGUGAGUUUAGUACGCUCUGCCAAAACGGGUCCUCACUAUAGUAAAGUGCGUGUCGCACUCACGAGGGACUGCUAGUGAGAUACUGGAGGAAGGUGGGGAUAACGUCAAGUCCGCAUGGCCCUUAUGGGCUGGGCCACACACGUGCUACAAUGGCAAUGACAAUAGGAAGUAAGGCUAUAAGGCAGAGUGAAUUCGAAAAGAUUGCCUCAGUUCGAAUUGUUCUCUGUAACUCGGGAACAUGAAGUUAGAAUCGUUAGUAAUCGCGGAUCAGCAUGCCGCGGUGAAUAUGUACUCAGGCCCUGUAC